RNAcentral lists this ribosomal RNA (448 nucleotides) under uncultured bacterium. RNAcentral describes it as "partial 16S ribosomal RNA". It matches the Rfam family "Bacterial small subunit ribosomal RNA", at positions 329 to 792 of the family's 1533-position model. The record is from RNAcentral.
AGCCAGACUCCUACGGGAGGCAGCAGUGGGGGAUAUUGCACAAUGGGGGAAACCCUGAUGCAGCGACGCCGCGUGGGCGAAGAAGUAUUUCGGUAUGUAAAGCCCUAUCAGCAGGGAAGAAGAAAUGACGGUACCUGAGUAAGAAGCACCGGCUAAAUACGUGCCAGCAGCCGCGGUAAUACGUAUGGUGCAAGCGUUAUCCGGAUUUACUGGGUGUAAAGGGAGCGUAGACGGCGGUGCAAGCCAGAUGUGAAAGCCCGGGGCUCAACCCCGGGACUGCAUUUGGAACUGUGCUGCUAGAGUGUCGGAGAGGCAGGCGGAAUUCCUGGUGUAGCGGUGAAAUGCGUAGAUAUCAGGAGGAACACCGGUGGCGAAGGCGGCCUGCUGGACUGCGACUGACGUUGAGGCCCGAAAGCGUGGGGAGCAAACAGGAUUAGAUACCCCAGUA